Molecule: ribosomal RNA, 695 nt
Filed under: uncultured bacterium
Lineage: Bacteria
Description: bacterial SSU rRNA
Rfam family: Bacterial small subunit ribosomal RNA
Source: RNAcentral
AACAUUUGGAAACAGAUGCUAAUACCGCAUAGAUCCAAGAACCGCAUGGUUCUUGGCUGAAAGAUGGCGUAAGCUAUCGCUUUUGGAUGGACCCGCGGCGUAUUAGCUAGUUGGUGAGGUAAUGGCUCACCAAGGCGAUGAUACGUAGCCGAACUGAGAGGUUGAUCGGCCACAUUGGGACUGAGACACGGCCCAAACUCCUACGGGAGGCAGCAGUAGGGAAUCUUCCACAAUGGACGCAAGUCUGAUGGAGCAACGCCGCGUGAGUGAAGAAGGCUUUCGGGUCGUAAAACUCUGUUGUUGGAGAAGAAUGGUCGGCAGAGUAACUGUUGUCGGCGUGACGGUAUCCAACCAGAAAGCCACGGCUAACUACGUGCCAGCAGCCGCGGUAAUACGUAGGUGGCAAGCGUUAUCCGGAUUUAUUGGGCGUAAAGCGAGCGCAGGCGGUUUUUUAAGUCUGAUGUGAAAGCCCUCGGCUUAACCGAGGAAGCGCAUCGGAAACUGGGAAACUUGAGUGCAGAAGAGGACAGUGGAACUCCAUGUGUAGCGGUGAAAUGCGUAGAUAUAUGGAAGAACACCAGUGGCGAAGGCGGCUGUCUGGUCUGUAACUGACGCUGAGGCUCGAAAGCAUGGGUAGCGAACAGGAUUAGAUACCCUGGUAGUCCAUGCCGUAAACGAUGAAUGCUAGGUGUUGG